GUGGAUGGCUCAGUGGUUAAGAGCACGGGCUGCUCUUCCAGAGGACCUGGGUUCAGUUCCCAGCACCCACA
This 71-nucleotide transfer RNA is filed under the name Cricetulus griseus (Chinese hamster). It matches the Rfam family "tRNA". Rfam says of the family: Transfer RNA (tRNA) molecules are approximately 80 nucleotides in length. Their secondary structure includes four short double-helical elements and three loops (D, anti-codon, and T loops). Lineage: Eukaryota; Metazoa; Chordata; Mammalia; Rodentia; Cricetidae. The record is from Rfam by way of RNAcentral.